UACGUAGGGGGCAAGCGUUGUCCGGAAUCAUUGGGCGUAAAGCGCGUGUAGGCGGCUCGAUAAGUCUGCUGUGAAAGUCCAGGGCUCAACCCUGGGAUGCCGGUGGAUACUGUCGAGCUCGAGUCCGGAAGAGGCGAGUGGAAUUCCUGGUGUAGCGGUGAAAUGCGCAGAUAUCAGGAGGAACACCGAUGGCGUAGGCAGCUCGCUGGGACGUGACUGACGCUGAGACGCGAAAGCGUGGGGAGCAAACAGG
This 253-nucleotide ribosomal RNA is filed under the name uncultured bacterium. RNAcentral describes it as "partial 16S ribosomal RNA". It matches the Rfam family "Bacterial small subunit ribosomal RNA", at positions 524 to 776 of the family's 1533-position model. The record is from RNAcentral.